RNAcentral lists this long non-coding RNA (2220 nucleotides) under Felis catus (domestic cat). Its description in RNAcentral is "lncRNA (ENSFCAG00000050823.1)". The record is from RNAcentral. Lineage: Eukaryota; Metazoa; Chordata; Mammalia; Carnivora; Felidae.
UUGAAUCCCAACAACAGCCAUUGAAAUGUUUUACUUAAGAGUUGAAGAAAGCAAGAGUCAGAGAGGUAAAGUGAUCUGCCUAAGAUCACACCACAAAUAGUUGGGAACACCGGGAACGGGUCACCUGGUGUAUCUAACUUCAGAGUGAUCGCCUUUUAAUUAUCAAGUACUGUAGCUUGCAGAGAUCAAAGUCUGUGGCGUUUUCAUCCGACUAGCCCAUCGAUCCCAGCAUCGGAGCUAGGAGGGGGUAGUGUUAUUAUUCCCAUUUUCCAGAUGGCAAAACCGAGGCCUUAGGAAGGGGGCGCCGAUUGCCCAAAGUCACACAGCUAACAAGUGGCAGAGGCAGGAUUUGAGGCUGCUUCGGAUCCUCUCUGGGGUUUUCGCCCCACGCCCAGACCUCGGGUCGGUUUCUGCAGAAGCCACAUCCGGUUUUCACUUCAGCCUGGCGGCGCCUGCCGGUAGUGACUUCACCAGAGACGGUGUGAGCACCUGGCAGGGCGGGCGCGGAGGGAGGGAGAGGGUCAGCCCGGGGGCCAGGCGGGAUGACCGCCAGCAGUCCUUCAAGCUUCAGUGUCCUCCCACCUCAGCAUUCCCUUCACGUCCCCGUCCUCAUUUCUCCAGCUCCCGCAUUUGCCAACUUCUUUUUGCCCCUGAAAGGAAUUUUUACAGACUUCGCGCAGAGUCAGAAGGGGAGUCCGGGGGAACCCGUGGUUGCACCUCCGCCACCAUUGGUUGUAGCGCUAUGAGACUCGAUUUGCAUAUCGUGUUCGAUUGGCUCAAGCGACCGGAGUGGGCGGGCUCAAGCAAAUCUACCUGUCAGAGGGUGGAGCACGCAGAGCUUCCGGGCUGGAGAAGGGGGAAGGGCCACCUGGCAGCGGUGAAUGAGGCCGGGCGUCCUACUGAUGGACCCGAGGCAGGAACCCGUCCACACCCCACACAGCCGCUUCGCAAGCGCGGCCUGGUGCAAACGCGCAUUUGCUGGGACAACACAAAUUGUGUGAAGGUAAAAAGACCAAAAACUCUAAGAACACUGUUUUGGACACCGCCAUGGAUAAAGCACCUGUCACAGCACCCAGCAUCUACUGGUUUGCAAUGAGGACUGUUAUUGGAGCUUAACUAAUCAGGCAGCACACGUGGAAUUGCUAGUGACCCUGGUUGACCAGACCUCUGUGCCAAACUGAUGCUAGGAACAGAACUGCUGGAUUAGUCGUCGUCGUCCUCCUCCUCCUUCUAGUCCUAGAGGACCCCAUCUAGCCCUGACCUCUCUGGUACAUGGCUCUCAGGCCAGCCUCCAAACAACCACCACCAUCUCCAGGCUUAAAAAAAAAAAACAACAAAAAAAAACAGUAAAAGUAAAAACUUUUGUCCAAACCAAAUUCUGCCCACGGAUGUUCAUAGCAGCUUUCUUCAUAAUUGCCAAAAGUUGGAAGCAACCAAGAUGUCUUUUUUAAGAAAAAAAAAAAAAUUUUUUUUUUACAUGUAUUCAUUUUUGAGAGACAGAGCACAAGCGGGGAAGGGGCAAAGAGAGGGGGAGACACAGAAUCCGAAGCAGGCUCCAGGCUCUGAGCGGUCAGCACAGAGCCCCACGCGGGGCUCAAACUCACGGACCGUGAGAUCAUGACCUGAGCCGAAGUCGGACGCUUAACCGACCGAGCCACCCAGGCGCCCCCCAACCAGAAGUUCUUUGAAUCUCAUCCUCUUGGGGUUUUGUGGAGGCUUCAUUACAAAGGCGCAAUUGAUUACAUCAUGAGCCAUUAGCCAUCCAUUCAACCUCAAGAGCUCUUCACCUCCCUGGAGGUGGGGGGUGGGGGGUGGGGUAGGACGAAAAUUUCCAAACCUCUCUGCUCUCAGUGGGUUCCACUGGCUACAAGCCCCCGUCCUUAGGUGCUUUCCAAAAGUCACCUCAUUAACGUAACAAAAGACACUUCUGUUGCUGUCAACACUUUGCAAACACCAAGGGUUUUAGGAGCUCUGAGCUGGGAACCUUGACCGAGAUCAAACACGAGAAACACAUUUUGUAGUCUGGUUGCCCAUGUGUAUAUUACAACGUAUGUGUGUAUAAAUAACAAUAUCACACCCACUCUGUUGGGAGAUGUUAGCGACGGGGAGACUGUGCGUCUACGGGCGCAGGGGAUAUAGGAGAAAUCUCUCCAAGUUUUCUGUGAACCUAAAACGGCUCUAAAAAAUAAAGGUUUUUUUAAAGAUGCUGAAGAAGCGUUG